GGUUGCUCCUGUGUUUCUCUGGUUCUUGGUCGUGCCAUUGAAGAAUAGGUGUAGAAGAAAAUAGGUUUUGCAAGAAUCGGUUAGGCUGAUACCAUAUUAGGAAAAAGAAAGUGUUUCUUUUAUUAUUAUGUAUAUUGUGCAUAGAGUACAAGAGAAGUUGAGUUAAAAUACUCAGUAGGUUGAGUUAGUUGUACUAACUAACUAUGGGUACACUAUAGAUAACUUAACUAUACCUAAUAUCCUAAUAGGUCCCGAUGUUGUCUUGGGAAGUUGGUGGCAUGGUCAAACUCAGGAGGACGAGAGGAGAAAACCCAAUAAGGUAUUCUUGUUGGAAUCCAUGGAGUCCAUGGUGGUUUGGGGUUUGAUUCAGCCUCCUCAGGCCGCUGUGGGUCACACGGCCACCACUACUAGCCUCCUUGUUGAAUGAUCUUUAAAGCCCAGUACCCCAUUCCCUCAAUUGCCGCCUUUAAGUGGUGGUUUCUGCCACCGUUACUAUAGCUCUGCCAUGGGUCUCGACCAACCACCAUGUUCGGUGCCCCAGAGUUCACUUCGAGCUCCAAAGCUCACCAUCGAACUCGUAUCACUCUCUCGACCAUUUGGUUUGGCUUGAUACUUGGACAGCUUGUGGACUUCAGACUCAAUACCAAAGACUUUUAUGAAUAUGAUGUUCAAAAGUCUUGUAUUAUUAAAUAAGUUUAGUUUAUAUUUGAAUUUGUAAAGACUUUAAGUGUUAAUAUAGUUUAAAGUUUUAAAGUUUCUG
Humulus lupulus (European hop) is the source of this 760-nucleotide long non-coding RNA. RefSeq lists it as uncharacterized. The transcript has 2 exons. The record is from RefSeq and is a predicted model, not a curated record. NCBI's taxonomy places the organism in Eukaryota, Viridiplantae, Streptophyta, Magnoliopsida, Rosales, Cannabaceae.